Molecule: ribosomal RNA, 274 nt
Filed under: uncultured bacterium
Lineage: Bacteria
Description: partial 16S ribosomal RNA
Rfam family: Bacterial small subunit ribosomal RNA
Source: RNAcentral
AUACAGAGGGUGCGAGCGUUAAUCGGAAUUACUGGGCGUAAAGCGCGCGUAGGCGGCAUGGUAAGUCGGAUGUGAAAGCCCCGGGCUCAACCUGGGAAUGGCAUUCGAUACUGCCAGGCUAGAGUAUGGGAGAGGGAAGUGGAAUUUCCGGUGUAGCGGUGAAAUGCGUAGAUAUCGGAAGGAACACCAGUGGCGAAGGCGACUUCCUGGCCCAAUACUGACGCUGAGGUGCGAAAGCGUGGGGAGCGAACAGGAUUAGAAACCCUAGUAGUCC